This 497-nucleotide ribosomal RNA is filed under the name uncultured bacterium. RNAcentral's name for it is "partial 16S ribosomal RNA". It matches the Rfam family "Bacterial small subunit ribosomal RNA", at positions 28 to 507 of the family's 1533-position model. The record is from RNAcentral.
GAUGAACGCUGGCGGCGUGCCUAAUACAUGCAAGUCGAGCGAACGGACGAGAAGCUUGCUUCUCUGAUGUUAGCGGCGGACGGGUGAGUAACACGUGGAUAACCUACCUAUAAGACUGGGAUAACUUCGGGAAACCGGAGCUAAUACCGGAUGAUAUUUUGAACCGCAUGGUUCAAAAGUGAAAGACGGUCUUGCUGUCACUUAUAGAUGGAUCCGCGCUGCAUUAGCUAGUUGGUAAGGUAACGGCUUACCAAGGCAACGAUGCAUAGCCGACCUGAGAGGGUGAUCGGCCACACUGGAACUGAGACACGGUCCAGACUCCUACGGGAGGCAGCAGUAGGGAAUCUUACGCAAUGGGCGAAAGCCUGACGGAGCAACACCGCGUGAGUGAUGAAGGUCUUCGGAUCGUAAAACUCUGUUAUUAGGGAAGAACAUAUGUGUAAGUAACUGUGCACAUCUUGACGGUACCUAAUCAGAAAGCCACGGCUAACUACGUG